Molecule: ribosomal RNA, 252 nt
Filed under: uncultured bacterium
Lineage: Bacteria
Description: partial 16S ribosomal RNA
Rfam family: Bacterial small subunit ribosomal RNA
Source: RNAcentral
ACGUAGGGGCCGAGCGUUGUCCGGAUUUAUUGGGCGUAAAGCGCAUGUAGGCGGCCAUGUAAGUCGAUUGUGAAAUCCCGAGGCUCAACUUCGGAACUGCAGUCGAUACUGCAUGGCUUGAGGAAGGUAGAGGAGAGUGGAAUUCCCGGUGUAGCGGUGGAAUGCGCAGAUAUCGGGAGGAACACCAAUGGCGAAGGCAGCUCUCUGGGCCUCUCCUGACGCUGAGAUGCGAAAGCGUGGGUAGCGAACAGG